UACGUAGGGUGCGAGCGUUAAUCGGAAUUACUGGGCGUAAAGCGUGCGCAGGCGGUUCGUUAAGUUCGUCGUGAAAGCCCCGGGCUCAACCUGGGAAUGGCGAUGGAAACUGGCGGGCUGGAGUGUGGCAGAGGGGGGUGGAAUUCCGCGUGUAGCAGUGAAAUGCGUAGAGAUGCGGAGGAACACCGAUGGCGAAGGCAGCCCCCUGGGCUAACACUGACGCUCAGGCACGAAAGCGUGGGGAGCAAACAGG
Molecule: ribosomal RNA, 253 nt
Filed under: uncultured bacterium
Lineage: Bacteria
Description: partial 16S ribosomal RNA
Rfam family: Bacterial small subunit ribosomal RNA
Source: RNAcentral